Molecule: long non-coding RNA, 3315 nt
Filed under: Homo sapiens (human)
Lineage: Eukaryota; Metazoa; Chordata; Mammalia; Primates; Hominidae
Description: non-protein coding lnc-C1orf159-1:6
Source: RNAcentral
UUUGCUUUGGCUGACAUGCCCGUCCUCUGCCCCACGCAGGCUGUUACAGGCGCUGGAACGCGGACGGGAGCGCCAGCUGCGUCCGCUGUGGGAACGGAACCCUCCCAGCCUACAACGGCUCCGAGUGUAGAAGCUGUAGGUCUGCCCGGCUCCCCCCGGCUCCCUUCUCACAGCUCCAGCUGUGGGAGACACUGUGGGAGUUGCUGUCUGUGUCCCCACCUUGCCCCAGAGCCACUGUCCACUGGGGAACAGCCCCGGGAGCCCCCUCUUCCCGAGUCUGCUGGGCCAUUCGGGACAGCUCUGUGGUGAGGGCUGCUCCGCCCCCUCAGCCCCUCGCUUUCAUAUUUCCGUCCUGAGAUCCCUUCAGGGUGCACGUGGGUGUCCCCGUGGGCUCCGUGCACACAGGCUUCCCACAGUUCUGCUAUCCCACAGUUGCUGGCCCGGGUGCGCCAUUCCCCAUGAACAGAAGCUCAGGGACCCCCGGGCGGCCACAUCCUGGGGCUCCGCGCGUGGCCGCCUCCCUCUUCCUGGGCACGUUCUUCAUUAGCUCCGGCCUCAUCCUCUCCGUAGCUGGGUUCUUCUACCUCAAGCGCUCCAGUAAACUCCCCAGGGCCUGCUACAGAAGAAACAAAGCUCCGGCCCUGCAGCCUGGCGAAGCCGUAAGUAACCCACAUCAUCCGGGCUGAGCGUCCCUGGCCGCGUGUGCCUGUGCCAGGCCAUCCCGAGUCCUCACUCUGCCUUUCUCUCCUUUUCAAGGCUGCAAUGAUCCCCCCGCCACAGUCCUCAGGUAACAGCAGCUGUCGCAUCCCCCUGUGGGGUUUCCCAUCUCUGGGCCAGUCCCAGGGUGCUCUGUGGGUUUGUCCCCAAACGGGUUUGCCUGGCUCUGGAUCUCGGCCACCCCUGCCCGGGUCCCCAGGAGACCCACCCACAAGGCAGGGCCAGGGCCGGAUUUGGCUGGUGCCCCCUGCUCUGGAUCUCAGCUGGAUUUGGCCGGCGCCCCCUGCCCGCCCCCCUUUAAUCCCCGUGACUUCCAUGCUCUUUCCUGUUCCCGAGACGUGGGGUCUGCAGGAAAGGAGGACCCACCACGACAGGGCAGACCCCCAAUACCUGCUCCUCCUUGAAGUCCAGCUCCACCCGAGGACAGACGCAGCCGGCCUCCGCCAGGCCCUCCUGAGCAGCCAUCGCUUCAGUGGUGCUGGGUCAGGCGGACCCAAGAGUCAGCCCGGUUAGGACCCAUUUUAUGUGCGGGGCCACAGACACAGGCUGAGUGACCGGCGCACAGCCACACAGCUCCAAGGCCAUGAGCAGGGCUCACCCGGCCUCCGUCCCCCUGUGCAGAAGUCUGUCAUGGGGGCAGGUGACCGUGCCUUUAGGGGACAGACCGUUCUCCAUCAAGGCUGGACGUGCCCCGUCCCUAAAGCAGCCCUGUCUGCAAGUGCCCAGCAGACCCCACGGUGCCCGAGUGCCCCGGGGCUGCCAGCUUCAACAGCAGACCUUUAAUCUGACUAUCCUAGAGUUCAGAAGUCCAAAACCAAGGGGCAAACAAGGCCACACGCUUCCCGAGGCUCCGGGGAGGACGCUGUCUGCCUUCCCAGCCCCUGCCGGCUCAGGCAUCUGUGGCUGCGUUGCCCGUCUCUGUCCCCUGGUCCCACGGCGUCUCCCCCACCUCUGCGUCUUCUCUCUCUGCCUCUCUCUCAGGUGGGCCCUGGCCGUUGUUUCAGGGCCUGCCCGGGGAACCCUGGGCGAUCACACCUGAGACCCUGACGUAACCCCCUGCAAAGCCCCUUCUUCUAAAUAAGGUCACAUUCGAGGUCUUGGGACUACGGCCUGCUUGUCGCCCCCUGAGGUGCAUGAUACUCUGGGACCCACAUCUCUGUCUUCGGGGAUCGCCUGGCCCUUGUCCAGGCCCCGGGGCCCAGGGUGUAAAUGAGAGGACACAGCCGGGCAGGAGGAAGCCGUCCCUUUCCCGAGCUGGAGCUCUGAGGGCGCCUUAGGGGCAGGGGGCAUCUGGGUUCCCACCUGGUCAGAGUAAACAGCCCCGGGCGCCUGUGCCAUAUGCCCACUCCCGAGAGCCUCCGGUGAGGGCUGAGGCCUGCACUGUCCCUGCUGUCCAGGUCCCACUCUGACCUCGCCUGUCUCUGACCCGUUUCAGUACGGAAGCCGCGCUACGUCAGGCGGGAGCGGCCCCUGGACAGGGCCACGGAUCCCGCUGCCUUCCCGGGGGAGGCCCGUAUCAGCAAUGUCUGACCUGGAGGCCGAGACCACGCCACGCACUUGGCGGCAGGGACCCGGAGGCCGACCCCUUGGCGGGAACCAGCACAAAGUGUUGGCAUCGCCCGGCGCCCGGGACAGUCCUGGGCACAGCCUCGGCUCUGAGUCCCUCCGCCUCCCAGCGACGGACGCCAAAGGGUCCCGGGCCGCCUGAGGCUCCUCCCCACCACAGCCAUCUCGUUUAUCGGACCAGGAGCAGGCAUCCAUGAGACCUCAGAGCUUCAGAUCGAGGCCUUGGGGGGUCCGGGCCCCCCCAGGAAACACGGUGAGGCCCCAGCGCCUGCAGCCAAAGCUGGCACGAUCUAUGGGGCAGGUGCCGCUCUGCCUAGAAAAGCCAGGGGCUCUGCUGCCGUGCCCUCCAGAGCCCACAGCGGGCAGGACUCCUCCAGCACCACCACACCCAGUGGCCCGAGACCCCUCUGAGAACAGUGAGGCUGGUCCUCGUGCCGUUCCAGCCGGUGCCCGGCCAGUGGGGAGGACACAGCCUAGGAACCAGCUGCCUGAGACCAGGGUGCCUCUGGGCUGUCCUCCCGCGUGGCGGAGACCCCAAGCACGCAGCCACCCAUUUCCGGAGCUGCAGGAUAGAGCUUCCUCUUGAUCUCUGUUUUUAAGCAGAAAUUCAUUGUGCAGAAAAGUCCUCCAGAGCUCUGUGGCCCCGCUCGGAUCCGCUGGACCCCCAUGCCUGGCUGAUCCCUGCCCACGUGGGGCAGGCCCACAUCUAACCCCCACAAGUCACUGCCUCACUGCACCUGCCAAGGCUGCCCUGGCGCUGAGUCCUGGGGUCCCUCCCGGAGUUCCUGGGAGAAAGGCGCCGUCGUGGCCGCCUCCCGCACGCCAGGCCCGGGCUCCACCGUGGGUCUCAGACGCCCUGCGGCACCGGCACCGUCUGCUUUAGCAUGGGACCCCCCUCUGAGGGGUGGCCUGGCCUUCGGGGUCCCCACGCUCCUUUGCGAAGUCCACUGUGGGUGCCAUCAUGGUCUCCGGGACCUGGGCCAGCGGGAACGUGGGGGCACUGGGUGUGCUGAUAUAAAGUCGGCAUUACUC